ACGAUCAGAACCAACGGAGGUGGUGGCGACCGCAUACACUCCGACGGUCAAGUUAGCCUCAGGUGGUCGGAACAAUACCAAGGUUGUGCUAAAUAAAGGGGAGGAGAAUAUGUAUUUGCUUGUUAUGGAAAGCUAUGUUGUAAGAGUUUCAUUACCUUUGCCUCUUGCCAAACCUUGGGUAUUUAUAGGUGAGGAGAUCCGUUGGAUGUGGGAUACGUGUAUGCAUCUGACAGUUUGAGGCGUCUGCUCAUAGGCGUCAAUCAGCAGCGUCUAUAGAGUGGGUGGUUAAUUACUUCUCCCGAGUUGAGUUGACAUAAAUUUUAUACGUCACAUCAACUAGGCUCAUGGAGACGUCAAAUCAAUUGAAUCUAGAGGGCAGAAAGGAUCUUGACAUAGAUCUCUUUCUGAAAUUGACGACGGAUCCUCUAGCAGAGAAACUUCGGCUUGAACAGCGCUCCGGCUUCAGGGGCGAGGGCACCUCAAUCAGUUCAGUAGAUUGUUCGUGUCUUGUGAUGUGUUAGCAGAUGGUGGCUCCACUUCGGAUGGAUGUCGUACGCCUCAUAAGACGUGGUUGUGGAAUUUUCGAAGUGUUUCAGAUGGGGGCGUAACAGUGGUACCCCCAAGUUCAGGUAUGAAUAUUUAUAUCAAGGGUGGAUUUGUUUUCCCGAUUAGGUAUGUCCACCUUUAGAUAGGGACUGUGAUUUGUGAGGGCUUAUGGGUCGUUUUUCUAUGUUCACCGAAGCGUUGACCAUAGGCAGAUGCGCUAAAGAUUUAUUACUGAGUAAGGGGAAAACUUAUCCGAGGCCGAUGUGCUGCCAACUGGACGACGCGCUGGGAGAUAGCUAAAGCUUUGUAAAGCUUAGGAGGGAAAACAGCUCCGAGGCGAUGACCCACAUGGGGGAUCCGCAUCAGAUGCAUCUAAGCUUUGUAAAGCUGUGUGAAUAACUCAUCUACUGGUGCGUGGACCCACAAGGGAUGACGCGUUAGGAGAUGGCUAAAGCUUUGUAAAGCUUAGGAGGGAACGCAGCUUCCGAGGUGAUGACCCACAGGGGGGCCCCGCAUCAGAUGCGUCUAAACUUUGUAAAGCUGUGUGAAGAGCUCAUCUGCUAUUGGUGCGUUGACCCAUAGGGGACGACGCAUUGGGAGAUGGCUAAAGCUUUGUAAAGCUUAGGAGGGAACGCAGCUUUUGAGGUGAUGACCCACAGGGGGUUCCGCAUCAGAUACGUCUAAACUUUGUAAAGUUGCGUAAAGAGCUCAUCUGCCACUGGUGCGUUGACCCACAGGGGGACGACGCAUUGGGAGAUGGCUAAAGCUUUGUAAAGCUUAGGAGGGAACGUAGCUUCUGAAGCGAUGACCCAUAGGGGGUUUCGUAUCAGAUGCGUCUAAGCUUUAUAAAGCAGUGUGAAGAGUUCAUCUGCCACCGGUAUGUUGACCCACAGGGGACGACGCGUUGGGAGAUGGCUAAAGCUUUAUAAAACUUAGGAGGGAACGCAGCUUCCGAGGCGAUGACCCACAGGGGUGCUCCGCAUCAGAUGUGUCUAAACUUUGUAAAGCUCUGUGAAGAGAUCGAUCUGAGGUGGGCAUCUCUGACUUUAAAUGAUUAGAUAGCUAUUGCGUAUUUCCAAGUCGACAGUUGGGGACGAUGCCCAUUCCCAGAAAAGGCUGCUGCGGCCAGUUAUUGCAGACUGCUGAUGGUGAUCGAGGCAACGCGUUUUGCAUGAGCGUGAAGGUCACAGCUAGAUCUUAGAUGUAGAUCUAAUCUGGCGUUUCGUUUCAAUGGCCUAGAUUGAUGGUGCGACGGAUGGUCUAGAUUGAUUGCAUUUGAAAUCAACGGUGUGGAUGAGCUGGGACGCUCUAUAAAAGGCGAACUUGAGGGAUUUUGGAGCUUUUCACUUUUUCGAAAUCGAAAUCCCCAUACACUCUCAAAAUAUUUGUGUUUUUCGAUGAUCUUCAAGCAACUUCUGGCGAGAAAUCCUAGUUUUCGGUGACUCACGUUGCUUCUCAACCGUUUACGGCUGCUGGACAUUCCAUUUUUCAAAAGUUUCAGUGAGUAUUUGAAACUUUUCAUUUUUGAAAACGGCUUCUGAGGAUAGUGGUAGUUCGGGUACGGGGUUGGAACUAGUGAAGGUGGAUGAGCCCAUUUUGGCGACCUCCUCUGAGAUGGCCGAGGUAAUUUUUAGGGAGAGAAUAUAUGGAAGAGGCCAUAUAGCCCAGCUAUCACAUCUGUGCAUUAGGGGGCGUCGGAUUACCCUUCUCAGCUAAAGGGUGCCGGCCUGGAAAGACUUAGGGCUAAGUAUAGAAUUUCAGAUAGCGUAGAUCUGAUCCUACCAGAACCUGACGAGCGGGCCUGCUAUCCUAGGCCGGGGUGCAUGGCAAUAAGAGAGGCGAUCCUUAGGGCUGGCCUUAGGCUCCCAAUCCACCCAUUCUUCCGUAUGGUGCUUAGGUCAUACGGCCUAGCUCCUACCCAACUGAAUCGGAACUCCUAGAGCCAAAUGGUGGGCUCUUGGAUGUUGUGGAAGGAAGCGUCGUUCGGUGUGGAGAUGUCUUUUUCUGUAUUCCAGACCCUCUACAUCCCUAAGGUAGCGGCUAGGAGAGAUAAGACUAGGGGCUGGUACUACUUGACCUCAUAGGGUUCCAACACUCCAUUCGUGCUCGAUUUGUCGAGCUCCAUCAAGGAGUGGAAGAGCUCGUGGUGCUGGGCUGUCGGGAGAAAGGACACGAUGGAGGGGGACCCCCUGGCACCUCUUACGAUCCCCACAAAGUAUUCAACACUUAGUGAGUUCUGUGGCUCUGUAUCUUGUUUAUUUUUCCUCAGUUCAGUACUUAGCCGUUCUGUUUGUUUUUGAAGGUUCUCUUCCUUGGUGUGAGCUUUCCACCGACGACUUCGACAUUAUCUGCAUUAUUUAUCAGCUGCCUUCGAAAAAGAGGUCGUACCACCAGUUGAUAAGGAAAAAUGUCCACUUCGUGAUGCAUGAUUUGAUGGCUUCUCAAGGUAAAUGUCUCGAAGCGAAUUUUGUCAAUAUUUUCCAACCUCUUUACACUUGUACUAAUUUGCAUGUCCCAUUGCAGAUAAUUUUAAUAUGAAGCUGCCUCUGAGGCCAGAUUUCAAGACCAUCCAAAGGAUGAUGGCCAAGGCAAAAGCCUUGAAGACCUCCUUGUCUACAUACAAAAAGCAGAUGGAGGAUCUGGUGGAGGCCAGUAAGAGGCUCCAGUCCCCACCGAGGAGGAGGUGGAGGAAGACCCAAAUGCCAAUCUGCUGCGGAAAGGGAAGAAGCCUGCCGUUCCCUCAAAGCGCCCAACUGUGGCAAGGCCACUUUCGGCUUUGAGGCAAAAGACUAUUCCAAUCGGGGUGGUUAUCCUAGAGAAGAGGCCUGCGUCUUUCAAGGCUUCUCCAGCCCCCGCCACAUCGCCAGUCGUCGCUGUGCCCAUUGCUCAAGCGUCGGGGCAGCAAAAAAAGAAAUUGGCCCGUCCCUCGAAAGAGGUGGACUUCUUGGGCGUCAAUUCUGAGGAGCUAGUGAAGAAAGUUUUGGAGGCUUUUUCUCCAGAGGCAGCUGCGGUGGCGGUGGUCUACAAUAGAUAUUGGACUAAGGAAUGGAGAGAUCACACCACCUCCUACACUGUCGAGGAACUGGUUGUGGCCAACAGUACUUGUGUGGCCGGACCUUAAGCACUAGCAUCCAACUCAGGGCUUGGUAAAAGACCUCAAUGCAAAGAGAGAGGACCUCGCGAAGCACCUUGAGGAGGCGAUGCAUUAUGGUGAUGAAGUGAGGGGGCUCGGGCUAAGGCCGAGGAGGAAGGGAAGGGAAGGAAUGAGGCUGAGGCCCUACUGGGGGUUGCGAAGGAGGAAAUAGAGCGGCUGAAGAAGGAGCUCUAUGAAGUGGAGUGUCAGGUGGCUGCUAUGACAUGAAGAGUUGAUCAUGCAAAUGAGCACCACUGGCUCGCUACGGAGGCUCUGGAGGCCUCCAAUAAAGAAAAGACGGAGCUGAGGUAGAGAGCGGAUACCCAGGCCAAAGAAAUUACCUUUUUGAAGGAGGAGCUCAAGUCGGCAGGGGAGGUGGCUAUAUAGAACUUUAUCGACCACUUUGAAGAGCACCCCCUGUACGAUGACUUCGCCAACUUCUGGGCUUCUUGGAGUACCCAAGGGACAUUAGGUCAGCUGAAAGAGGUCCAUCCUACUCUGGACAUAUCUUCGAUUGAGGUAGAGUUUGGUGGGCCUACUGGAGGUCGACCUGAUAGGCUUGCCAAGGAUGCUCCAGAGGCCCCUGGGAGAGGAGCUGUAGAGGUCGGGGCUGCAGAUGCCCCAGUAGAGUUGGGCUAAUAUAUUUUUGUAAUGGCUUCGGCCUCUUCUGUAAUUCAAUUCUCAAUAUGAAUAAAAAAAAAUUCUGUACAAGUAUUGUCGCUUCUGUUUUUUCAUUGUGUUGAGUUAUUUACACUUAAGUAUAUGAAUGACAACCACUUAAGCACCUAUUAUCAAUAACCAAUUAAUAACAGAAGAUCGGAUCAAUUAACAUAUUGAAGAACUGAGGUAACAAUUUACUAAACGAUGUGACAAACAACUGAAGUAUCAUUACUUAAGAGGAAUUACAUCACUCUUCACUUAGGAAUUUUUAGCACUUAGUAAGAUAGGGAAGUUACAAAUGAGAUUGGAUCAUGACAUGUUAACUGGACAUCAUUAAGAUCAGAUCGGAACACAAGCUUAUUAUUGAUAGUACUUUCUCAAACGUUCGAUUUUCCAUUGAUGAGGCAGUACUUUCCUUGCCAUGUCUUCAAUUUCAAAAGUGGCAGGUCGGUAUUCCCUGUGGAUGCGGUAAGGACCCUCCCAGUUCGGUCCUAGCACUCCCGACCCGGUUGGCUUUGAUGAUUGAAAGACCCUUCUAAGGACGAGGUCCCCCAGACGAAGAGUCCGAUUUCUGACCCUGGAGUUAUAAUAGCGGGUCAUCUUUCUAUGAUACUUUGCUAAGUUCACCUGGGAGGCAUCCCUUCUUUCUUCAAGGAGGUGAAGUUUCCUCAUUUGAGCCUCAUCGUUACUGAUUUCAUUGAAGUGUACUCGGUGGUGCGAUGAGACUCCUACUUCAAUCGGGCUCAUGGCCUUGUCUCCAUAGGUCAUGGAGAAGGGUGUCUCCUCGGUUGUAGUUCGGCUAGUUGUUCUGAUGGCCCAGAGGAUGUGGGGAAGUUCUUCUACCCAAGCCCCUUUCGAGGUAUCAAGCUUCCUUUUCAGGGUAUGCUUGAUUGUUUUGUUUAUCGCCUCAACUUGCCUAUUUUCUUGUGGGUGAUGAGGCGUCGAGAAAUCUUUCUUUAUGCCCAAUUCGUCACAUAAGUUUUACAUUUUCUUGUUGUUCGAACUGUCUCUCGUUGUCAGAUACUAAGGAGUGGGGAAUGCCAAACCUACAGAUGAUGUUCUUCCAGACGAAUUUUGUAGUAUUUGCCUCGGUGAUCUUGGCAAGAGGUUCAGCUUCGACCUACUUGGUGAAAUAGUCGAUGGUGACAAUGACAAAAGUCGCGCUUCCUCUUUCUUUUGGGAGUGGACCAAUGAAGUCGAUGCCCCAUUUGGCAAACAGCCAAGGGCUGGUCACUACAGAGAGGCUCUAAGAAGGCUGCUUUUAAAUAUUUGAGAAGUGUUGGCACUUGUCCAAUUUCUGGACAAAUUGGCAAGCAUCCAUUUUCAGGGUCGGCCAAAAGUAGCCUUGUCGGAGUACUUUGUGUGCCAGAGCAGUUCCUUCGGAGUGAUUCCCGCAAAUUCCCUCAUGGAUUUCUCUGAGUAUAUACAUAGCUUCUUCGCCUCCUGCAUAUCGGAGAAGUGGUGAGGUGAAGCCUCUUUUGUAGGGGACAUCUUCUUGUAGGAUGAAGUGUGCAACCCUCCCUUUUAACUUCCUCGCCUCGCUUCUGGAAGAUGGUAGUGAUUGGUCCUUAAGGUAGGCAAUGAUGGGCUGCAUCCAUACGGGGUGCCUUCUAUCCAUAGCACCUCUUUGCCUCUGGAAAUAGAGGGCUUCGAUAAGUGCUCAAUGAGUACAAUCUUUAGUAGCUCUGAAUCCUUAUUGCUGGCCAGUUUUGAAAAGGCGUCUGCAUGAGUAUUCUCUAGGUGUGGGACUUGAAUCAGCUCAAACCUUUCAAAGUAAGGAACUAGGUCCAGAAGCAAUUUCAAGUAUGCAACCAUGCUACUGUCUUUGGCUGCGAAAUUUCCAUUGACCUAACUCACUACUAGCUGAGAAUCGUUGCUUACUAAGAGCCUUCUGAUCUGCAUUUCUCUUGCCAGUCUAAGGCCUGCUAGAAGGGCCUCGUAUUCGAUAGCGUUGUUCGAGGCUUUGAAGCCAAACCUUAUUGCGUAAUUUAGCUUGUGGCCUUCGGGGCUCUCUAAGACGAUCCCUGCCCUGGAGCCUACCUCUCUUGAGGAUCCAUCUACGAACAAUUUCCACGUUGGGGGCUUGGCUGGUUCCAUCGUUACCUCCAUUUCUGGGGCUUUGGCAAACUUAGCCACAAAAUCUGCAAGGGCCUGGCCCUUAAUGGCAUGUCGAGGUCGGAACAGUAUGUCGAACUCACUAAGCUCGAUCACCCAUUUUAGCAGGCAUUCUGAUGCGUCCGUUCUUUGCAGCACUUGCUUUAAUGGGAAGUUGGUGAGAACUUCAAUUGAGUAGGCUUGGAAGUAUGGCCUCAGUUUCCUUGAGGCUAUGAUGAGAGCGAGUGUCAAUUUCUCCAUGUCUGGGUAGCGUGUUUUAGCUGGGAGAAGUGCUUUGCUAACAUAGUAUACCGGUAACUGGUGCUCGUUUUCUUCUCUGACUAGGACAGCUCUGAUCGCCUCGUCCGAAACCGCCAAGUAGUGGUGGCUCUUCUGGUUGAGGUUUUGACAAUAGGGGUGCUUCUCCCAAAUGCUUCUUCAGCGCUUGGAAGGCUGCUUCGCAUUCAGAAGUCUAUUGGAACUUCUUUCCUUGCUUCAGCACAUUAAAGAAGGGCAAGCUUUUAUCUGUGGCUCUGGAGAUGAAGCGACUGAGUGCUGCUAUCCGACCAUUGAGGCUUUGGACCUCCUUUGGUUUCUGAGGUGACCUCAUUUCAAGUAAGAAAAUUAUCUUCACUGGGUUCACUUCGAUCCCUCUUUGGUUUACAAUGUAUCCCAAAAACUAACCCGAAGCUACUCCAAAGGUGCACUUGAGGGGGUUCAACUUCAUUUUAUAUUUUCUAAGUAUCUGAAAGGUUUGGUCAAGGUGACUUACGUGUUCGCUGGUCUGAAGGCUUUUGACUAGCAUGUCGUCCAUGUAGACCUCCAUGGUUUUGCCAAUGAGGUCGGCAAACAUCAUGUUGACCAGCCUCUGAUAUGUAACUCCAGCAUUUUUCAAUUCGAAGGGCAUGACUUUGUAGCAGUACAAUCCCCUGUCUGUGAUGAGUGACGUAGCCUCCCCAUUAGGUCGGAACAUGGGUAUCUAGUUAUACCCUGAUUAUGCAUCUAUGAAACUCAAGAGUUCAUGUCCGGUGGUAGAAUCCACAAGUUGGUCUAUUCUUAGAAGUGGGAAGUUGUCUUUAGGGCAUGCCUUAUUUAAGUUGGUGAAGUCUAAUCAUACCCUCCACUUUCUGCUGGGCUUCUUCACCAAGACCAGGUUGGAUAUCCACUUCGGGUAGAUGGCUUCUCUGAUGAAGCGCUGCAGCUAAGUUUGUCUACUUCGUCUUUGAGUGCCUCGUAUCACUCCGGGUUGAGAGCACGCCUUUUCUGCCUAUGUGGGGGCACAAGAGGAGUUAAUGUUAAGAUUAUGGCAACUGAUCCUUGGAUCUAUUCCCACCAUGUCUUCAUGCUUCCAAGCGAAGACAUCCAAGUUCAUUUUCAAGAAGUUCACCAUUUCUUCUUUUGCUUCAGGGGACAGUGCCUUUCCUAUUCGCAGGACCUGACUGGGGUCCUCUGGGUUGGCGAAGAAGGUUUUAAGUUCUUCCAUUGGGGUCGCAUUUGGCCUGGAGUGAAUGAUCCGGGGGUCUGAUUCAUCAAGAGGGUGCCCUUCUUCAGGGGCCUCUUCCAUGUCGACGUCUUCCUCUUGUUCGAAGGUAUGCCCUUGUUCAGGGGCGUUGAUCAUUUCCACGUCUAAAUUGGGCUCACUGGCAAUUUCAGUUAUGAUCACGUUAACAGUUCGGGGCUCCGAUUUUCGCAGAGAGUUUAAGUAACACACCCUGGAGCCUAUCUAGUCACCUCGUACCGUUGCAAUCCCUUGUUCAGUUGGAAAUUUCAUACACAAGUAGUGGAUAGAGGCGACAGCCCAAAGAUCUUUCAAGGCAGGUCUUCCUAAUACUCCAUGGUAGGCCGAUCUGUGGUCGACCACCAAGAAUUUCAGGAAGUGUUGGGCCACUAGAGGAGCUGAACCCAUCUUGACGGACAGAGUUAUCCGCCCUCGUGGGACGAUGCUAUCUCCAGUAAAUCCGAACAUUGGAUCGGUCAUGGGGAUCAACCCAUGUUCAAUUUGUAUUUUGUCGAAAGUGGAACCGAAUAGAAUAUUCACUGAACUGCCCUUGUAGAAGAGCAUGCGUUUAAGCCCCUUUUUUUCCACUACAGCUAUCACAACUAAUGCAUCACAAUGGGGGUGGUGAACUCCUUCAGCAUCUUCUUGGGAGAAGGUGAUUGGGGCCAUUCUAUUGGCCACUUGGGACUCGUUGACAAUGUAGGUAAGCAUUGACGGGUCCUUGGCUUCCCUUGUGUAAUUCCUUUGGGCGUUCUAGGUGUUGCCACCGAUGUGUGGUCCCCCAAUGAUCAUGUCGAUCUCCCUGAUGGUUUGGCCUCCUGAAAAUGGGGCUGGAUCUCUCUGUCUGGACCCUCCUCGGUCUCUUGAUUCUCUUCCCCAGGACGAUCGCUCUCUAGGCCUUCUUCCUUCCCUGUUCGAGGAGGUGGAUUUACAAGGAUAUUCGUUCCUCCUGGAGGAAUGUGGGUCGCUUCGAUCCGGCCAUCGAUUAGCAUCUCUGCAUUCACUGGUGUCAUGCCCAUAGAGUUGGUGGAAAGUGCAAAACCUUGCCCCUUCCAAGGGCCUGUUUGAUCGCUUUUUCUUCUUCUAGCCCUACUUUGCCAGGGAGAUUCUCGUAGGCCAACAUUGGGACUGCAUUUAGCAUGGCAGAAGCCAGUGCCUGUCCAGAGGUGGGAGCUAUUGUAUGACCUGCUUGAGUCCAUUGCUGAGUAACAAGGUGUGCUGCGGGUCCUCGACCUACCUGCCUCUGAGGCGGAGGGAGUCCCUGCGCUGCACGGUUUCUGUGAUCAAUCAUCUCUUCACUGACUAUCUCAACUCUCAUCAUUUAUACCAGCUCGUCAUAAGUGGUAGGAUUUUUGCUACGCACAUCCCUCCAGAACAAAGUGUUCAUGUUGAGGCCACCCUUCAAGGCUGAAAGGGCUUCUUUGUCAAUGACUUGCUCGUAAUACGUGAUUUUGUCUGUGAAUUUGGCGAGAUAGCUUUUCAGCGUCUCUCCAAGGGACUGCCUCAUAUCUUGCAGGUGUUGCACCGGGGCCUCUCAUUCUCUGCGUGAGAGGUACUGGUUCAAAAAUGCAUUCUUCAGAUCCGACCAACUCCUAAUGCUCAAGAAGGGAAGUCUGAUGUACCAUACUUCAAUAGCUCCACUUAAAGUUAAGUAGAAGGCUCUGCACUUCAAAGCAGACGAGGCUCCCCUGAGGCUCAUCUGUGUCAUAUACUUGGUGAGGUGCUUCUCCGAAUCCCCCUUUCCUUCAUAGUUGGGGAUCUUAGGGGGCAUGCAAUUCGCAGACAUUGGGAAACUUCGGAUUUCCCUUGAGAAAUGGAUGUUAUCAUCAUCAUCAUCAAUUUCAUAGGAUCGAUAAGACCUACCUAACCCUUCAUCAUCUUGAAUGUUCUGGGGAGGGGGUGGUGCUUCUCCUCGACUCUCCCAAUCGACUAAGCCCCUUCUCUCCUUCCUAUUUCUAGGAGGGGGAGGUGCUUGUUCUUGCUUCUGCUCUUGCCGAGAUGAUCUUCGCACUGAGUGGACCCUAUUACUAGGGUCCUGCCCUAUUCAGUUGAAGACGCUGACUGACCUUUGUGCUUCAUAUUUCUGAUGGAAAUUGUCCCCCAAUUGUGGUUCUACUGGCUGGCUCCCUUAUACAUAGGAUGUGGCUUCAGCACCCACUCCUCUUUCGAGGGGGCGCUCUCUGUGCUGGCUCAAAUGGCCUCGGGAACGGGAUGCCGAGGCUUCCUGAACUGGAUAUGAUUCCUGGGGCAUUUGAGAGCUCUGGUGACCUCGGGCUCGCAUGAGAAGUUCAUGCAUCGCCAUAAUCUGGGCUACGAUGUCUCUCAUGCCCGCAACUAUUUGAGUCAUUCCUUCGGUGAGCAUAGCUGUUCUUUCACCUCGGCGACACCGGUGAUGGGGUCUUUAGUGGGUAACAUUGUUACGGAGCACCUCUUCUUCAGAGGCCUCUCUCAUACGAUUCUCGUCUUCAUGGCUGUAACUCAUUUUAUUUCCUUUUUCAAGGGUGAUAAGAACUCGGAUUAUAACUCGACUUUGUUCUUAUUCAAGAACGUGCCCUUUUUAGGAUAAGUCACUGGUCUUCCGGUGGUUUCUCCGGUGAAGAAUGCAGAACUUUGGAUGGGAAGAGUUUCCCACAGACGGCACCAAUCUGUUGACCUCGCAAAUUAGACCCUUCACUUGGCCAAUCGAUAGCUACUCCACGUAUUCCUCCCUGCACACAGUCAGCGCACGGUCAGAUGCACACGGACAAAACCAACGGGGGUGGCGGCGGCCGCAUACACUCCGACGGUCAAGUUAAUUUCAGGUGGUCGGAACAAUACCAGGGUUGUGCUAAAUAAAGAGGAGGAGAAUAUGUAUUUGCUUGUUAUGGAAAGUUAUGUUGUAAGAGUUUCAUUACUUUUGCCUCUUGCCAAAUCUUGGAUAUUUAUAGGUGAGGACAUCCGUUGGAUGUGGAACACGUGUAUGCAU
Molecule: long non-coding RNA, 10896 nt
Filed under: Olea europaea (common olive)
Lineage: Eukaryota; Viridiplantae; Streptophyta; Magnoliopsida; Lamiales; Oleaceae
Description: long non-coding RNA (OEUR_LNC015186)
Source: RNAcentral